UGAGGAACAUGACCUUCGGCGGGGGAUAGCCGGCCCAACGGCCGGGUAAUACCGCGUACGACCUUUUGGGGACAUCCCCGAUUGGUGAAAGCAGCAAUGCGCCGAAAGAGUGCCUCGCGGCCUAUCAGCUAGUUGGUGGGUAAUGGCUCACCAAGGCGACGACGGGUAGCCGGCCUGAGAGGGUGACCGGCCACACUGGGACUGAGACACGGCCAGACUCCUACGGGGAGGCAG
RNAcentral lists this ribosomal RNA (234 nucleotides) under uncultured bacterium. Its description in RNAcentral is "partial 16S ribosomal RNA". It matches the Rfam family "Bacterial small subunit ribosomal RNA", at positions 118 to 351 of the family's 1533-position model. The record is from RNAcentral.